This 506-nucleotide ribosomal RNA is filed under the name uncultured bacterium. Its description in RNAcentral is "partial 16S ribosomal RNA". It matches the Rfam family "Bacterial small subunit ribosomal RNA", at positions 28 to 523 of the family's 1533-position model. The record is from RNAcentral.
GAUGAACGCUAGCUACAGGCUUAACACAUGCAAGUCGAGGGGUAACGAGAGGAAAGCUUGCUUUCCUUGUCGACGACCGGCGCACGGGUGAGUAACGCGUAUCCAACCUGCCCCCAACUAGGGAAUAACCUUGCGAAAGUAAGACUAAUACCCUAUAAUUUCCUCAGAUGUCAUCUGACGAGGAAUAAAGAUUUAUCGGUUGUGGAUGGGGAUGCGUCUGAUUAGCUUGUUGGCGGGGUAACGGCCCACCGAGGCAACGAUCAGUAGGGGUUCUGAGAGGAAGGUCCCCCACAGUGGAACUGAGACACGGACCAAACUCCUACGGGAGGCAGCAGUGAGGAAUAUUGGUCAAUGGGCGGAAGCCUGAACCAGCCAAGUAGCGUGCAGGAUGACGGCCCUAUGGGUUGUAAACUGCUUUUAUACAGGAAUAAAGUUAGCCACGUGUGGUUAUUUGUAGGUACUGUAUGAAUAAGGACCGGCUAAUUCCGUGCCAGCCGCCGCGGUAA